CUUGCAUAGCCCUGAUAAUCAUUCUUGGAAGGUUGAGUGGGAUGCAUUGAACUAUAUAAUAUAUAAUUGCUAAGUUCCUCUCUGUUAUAUUAUUAAAUCCUUCUGCUCUAGGUUGUAUAAUCUAGCAAACAAUAAUGUGAAAGAGUCUCAUUUUAACAUUUAAGUGUCACCCAUAAAUUUUACAGAAUUAGCUAUGGUCCUCUACCCCAAGAAUAGUUUCUAUUUUUAUGCUU
Molecule: long non-coding RNA, 233 nt
Filed under: Elaeis guineensis (African oil palm)
Lineage: Eukaryota; Viridiplantae; Streptophyta; Magnoliopsida; Arecales; Arecaceae
Description: long non-coding RNA (EGUI_LNC021145)
Source: RNAcentral